GGUCAAGCAAGUUCAGUCGGUAGAGAAUGAGACUCUUAACCUCAGGACUGUGGGUUCAAGUACCACGUUGGUCA
Non-coding RNA from Podarcis lilfordi (Lilford's wall lizard), 74 nucleotides. Lineage: Eukaryota; Metazoa; Chordata; Lepidosauria; Squamata; Lacertidae. The record is from the annotation of a GenBank genome assembly.